This is a long non-coding RNA of Pecten maximus, 917 nucleotides long. RefSeq lists it as uncharacterized. NCBI's taxonomy places the organism in Eukaryota, Metazoa, Mollusca, Bivalvia, Pectinida, Pectinidae. The record is from RefSeq and is a predicted model, not a curated record. The transcript is spliced from 2 exons.
AUACUUGAUUGAUUGAUGGGGCUUAACGUCCUUGUUCCGGUUAUAACCGAGCCUAGGACUGCCCAGUAUACGAUACACCACCCUGAAUUUAUCCCACUUUUUAACAAUACAAAACUAUAAGGACCAAUCACGACAGAGGAUACACAGGCACGACAGACACUGACGAAAAAGCAAGCGACUACGAACAAUGCACGACAAAAACAUCGACCAGAGACAGCACACGUGAACAGAGGACUAGCAAAGGUCAAGGUGACACAGGUACACAUAGUACAGACACAACAUAUAGACAUGGCAUAUAGUUAGCGUUAAGCUUAACCCUGUCAGCUUAACCUAUCAGUACAUAUACGAUAACAUCCCCCGCUACACCUGUUCGCCGUGUUUAUGGCGCAAGAUAAAUUUGUGGAAGAAGCCCAGACAUCGGAUUGGGCUUCACAUGACGGGCACAUGAUCGCCAGAUGUUGAUAUGGGUCAACCUGAAUAGACAACGGGUCUUCCGUGAUGCACUGUCAGGGCCGACCAGAGGUUGAGGUCAACUGCCAGGAAGACAAGUAUAGGGCCAUUUAAUGGUUCAGAAGGAGAAGUGGUUGCUAUCCACUGCACAUAUCCUCGCCAGUAGAGGACCAUUAUUGUGAUCCGUUUGCCGGAUGCUGCGGAUGCUGUUUAUUGUUUUUUUUCCUGUUCUGUUUCACCGUGAAACAUGGAAUGAUUUGCGUGAUUGACAUUACCGAGGUGAACUGAUCGUGACACCAAUCGUCACAAGCACUUGGAAAAGUGAACGACAUUCCUGUCGUGUGGAGAGACUGUAGACUCAGUAAUAUAUGAAUAAAUGUAGUAUAGUAGAGAGGGUGGUUGGGAGAGUGAAUGAGUUGGUAUUUUUUUGUGAUUCUAUGUAAAUAAAUUUGUAUAUAUGAAAUUGA